GGGUGCGCUUAUGCUUGCAAGUCGAGCGAAGCUUUUCAGUAGUUUACUACAGAAAAUGACUGAGACGGGUGAGUAACGCGUGAGCAAUCUACCUUAGUUACAGGGAUAGCCCGAGGAAACUCGGAUUAAUACCUGAUAUUCUUUAUUUCUCGCAUGAGAAUAAAAGGAAAGGUCAGCCGAACUAAGAUGAGCUCGCGUUCUAUCAGCUAGUUGGUGAGGUAAAAGCUUACCAAGGCUACGACGGAUAGCUGGUCUGAGAGGACGAUCAGCCACACUGGGACUGAGACACGGCCCAGACUCCUACGGGAGGCUGCAGCAGGGAAUAUUGUGCAAUGAACGAAAGUUUGACACAGCGACACCGCGUGUGGGAUGACGGAUCUAGGUUUGUAAACCACUUUCAGGAGGGAAGAACAAUGACGGUUACCUCCACAAAGAAGCCCCCGGGCCAACUACGUGCCAGCAGCCGCGGUUAAUACGUAGGGGGCGAGCGUUUGUACCGGAUUUCAUUUGGGGCGUCAAAGAGCUCGUACGCGGUUCCAACAAGUCGGCCGUUGGAACAGUUCAGGGCUUCAAACCCUGAAAUGUCGAUCGAAAACU
This 597-nucleotide ribosomal RNA is filed under the name uncultured cyanobacterium. RNAcentral's name for it is "bacterial SSU rRNA". It matches the Rfam family "Bacterial small subunit ribosomal RNA", at positions 40 to 634 of the family's 1533-position model. The record is from RNAcentral. Lineage: Bacteria; Bacillati; Cyanobacteriota.